CCUACGGGUGGCAGCAGUGGGGAAUAUUGGGCAAUGGGCGCAAGCCUGACGCAGCAACGCCGCGUGAAUGAAGAAGGCUUUCGGGUUGUAAACUUCUUUUCUGAGGGACGAAGAAAGUGACGGUACCUCAGGAAUAAGCCACUGCUAACUACGUGCCAGCAGCCGCGGUAAUACGUAGGUGGCAAGCGUUAUCCGGAUUUAUUGGGUGUAAAGGGCGUGGAGGCGGGAAAGCAAGUGUGAUGUGAAAACUCAGGGCUCAACCCUGAGACUGCAUUUGAAACUUGCUUUCUUGAGUGCUGGAGAGGUAAUCGGAAUUCCGGGUGUAGCGGUGAAAUGCGUAGAUAUAAGGAGGAACACCAGUGGCGAAGGCGGAUUGCUGGACAGUAACUGACGCUGAGGCGCGAAAGCGGGGGGAGCAAAUAGGAUUAGAUACCCCAGUAGUC
RNAcentral lists this ribosomal RNA (443 nucleotides) under uncultured bacterium. RNAcentral describes it as "partial 16S ribosomal RNA". It matches the Rfam family "Bacterial small subunit ribosomal RNA", at positions 338 to 795 of the family's 1533-position model. The record is from RNAcentral.